GAUGCUGAUGGCUGGUCCGAGGAAGAAGCUGGGAAACAAGUCCAGAAAGGGCGUGGGGGGAGGAUCUUCUAGAAGUUUAAGGUCAAAGACUCAGACUUCCCGCCCUGUUUGAAGUGCUUAAUUGUGUGGUUGAAGGCUGGUGUUGGGCGGUUGGGCAGUCCUGCUGUAGAGUGAGUGACCCGUAGACUGGGGAGCAGCCCCCACUGCUGGAACUGGCUCUAGUCCUUUGGAGUCACCGCCUUCCCCCAGUUACCCUGGGAAAAAGCCACUGGCUGACAGCUUUGCUCAGCGACUGUCCUCCCCACCCUCAGCUUGCUAUGGCAUCGUUCAGGUGCCAACGGGACCCUGGUUCUGCCGGAAAUGUGAAUCUCAGGAGCGAGCAGCCAGGGUGAGGUGUGAGCUGUGCCCACACAAAGACGGGGCAUUGAAGAGGACUGAUAAUGGAGGCUGGGCACACGUGGUGUGUGCCCUCUACAUCCCCGA
Molecule: unclassified non-coding RNA, 483 nt
Filed under: Homo sapiens (human)
Lineage: Eukaryota; Metazoa; Chordata; Mammalia; Primates; Hominidae
Description: MLLT6, PHD finger containing (ENSG00000275851.4)
Source: RNAcentral